This 332-nucleotide unclassified non-coding RNA is filed under the name soil metagenome. Its description in RNAcentral is "partial contains 5.8S ribosomal RNA, internal transcribed spacer 2, and large subunit ribosomal RNA". The stretch from base 1 to 120 matches the Rfam family "5.8S ribosomal RNA", at positions 35 to 154 of the family's 154-position model. The record is from RNAcentral.
GAUGAAGAACGUAGUAAAAUGCGAUAAGUAAUGUGAAUUGCAGAAUUCAGUGAAUCAUCGAAUCUUUGAACGCACAUUGCGCCCGCCAGUAUUCUGGCGGGCAUGCCUGUUCGAGCGUCAUUUCAACCCUCAAGCACAGCUUGGUGUUGGGACUCGCGUUAAUUCGCGUUCCUCAAAUUGAUUGGCGGUCACGUCGAGCUUCCAUAGCGUAGUAGUAAAACCCUCGUUACUGGUAAUCGUCGCGGCCACGCCGUUAAACCCCAGCUUCUGAAUGUUGACCUCGGAUCAGGUAGGAAUACCCGCUGAACUUAAGCAUAUCAAUAAGCGGAGGA